GACGAACGCUGGCGGCGUGCUUAACACAUGCAAGUCGAACGGAAAGGCCCCUUUGGGGGUACUCGAGUGGCGAACGGGUGCGUAACACGUGAGUAACCUGCCCUUGACUUCGGGAUAACUUCAGGAAACUGGGGCUAAUACCGGAUAGGAAUCCUUGCUGCAUGGUGGGGGUUGGAAAGCUUCGGCGGUUUUGGAUGGACUCGCGGCUUAUCAGCUUGUUGGUGGGGUAGUGGCUUACCAAGGCUUUGACGGGUAGCCGGCCUGAGAGGGCGACCGGCCACAUUGGGACUGAGAGACGGCCCAGACUCCUACGGGAGGCAGCAGGGGGGAAUAUUGCACAAUGGGCGGAAGCCUGAUGCAGCAACGCCGCGUGCGGGAUGACGGCCUUCGGGUUGUAAACCGCUUUCAGCAGGGGCGAAGCUUGUGGUGACGGUACCUGCAGAAGAAGCACCGGCUAACUACGUG
This 465-nucleotide ribosomal RNA is filed under the name uncultured bacterium. RNAcentral describes it as "partial 16S ribosomal RNA". It matches the Rfam family "Bacterial small subunit ribosomal RNA", at positions 28 to 507 of the family's 1533-position model. The record is from RNAcentral.